AGAGUUUGAUCCUGGCUCAGAUUGAACGCUGGCGGCAGGCUUAACACAUGCAAGUCGAGCGGGGGAGGUUGCUUCGGUAACUGACCUAGCGGCGGACGGGUGAGUAAUACUUAGGAAUCUGCCUAUUAAUGGGGGACAACAUCUCGAAAGGGAUGCUAAUACCGCAUACGCCCUACGGGGGAAAGCAGGGGAUCACUUGUGACCUUGCGUUAAUAGAUGAGCCUAAGUCGGAUUAGCUAGUUGGUGGGGUAAAGGCCUACCAAGGCGACGAUCUGUAGCGGGUCUGAGAGGAUGAUCCGCCACACUGGGACUGAGACACGGCCCAGACUCCUACGGGAGGCAGCAGUGGGGAAUAUUGGACAAUGGGGGGAACCCUGAUCCAGCCAUGCCGCGUGUGUGAAGAAGGCCUUAUGGUUGUAAAGCACUUUAAGCGAGGAGGAGGCUCUCUUGGUUAAUACCCAAGAAGAGUGGACGUUACUCGCAGAAUAAGCACCGGCUAACUCUGUGCCAGCAGCCGCGGUAAUACAGAGGGUGCGAGCGUUAAUCGGAUUUACUGGGCGUAAAGCGUGCGUAGGCGGCUUUUUAAGUCGGAUGUGAAAUCCCCGAGCUUAACUUGGGAAUUGCAUUCGAUACUGGGAAGCUAGAGUAUGGGAGAGGAUGGUAGAAUUCCAGGUGUAGCGGUGAAAUGCGUAGAGAUCUGGAGGAAUACCGAUGGCGAAGGCAGCCAUCUGGCCUAUACUGACGCUGAGGUACGAAAGCAUGGGGAGCAAACAGGAUUAGAUACCCUGGUAGUCC
This 795-nucleotide ribosomal RNA is filed under the name uncultured bacterium. RNAcentral describes it as "bacterial SSU rRNA". It matches the Rfam family "Bacterial small subunit ribosomal RNA", at positions 8 to 796 of the family's 1533-position model. The record is from RNAcentral.